UACGUAGGGAGCAAGCGUCGUUCGGAUUUACUGGGCGUAAAGGGCGCGUAGGCGGCAAAUUAAGUCAGUUGUGAAAUCUCCGAGCUUAACUCGGAACGGUCAACUGAUACUGCUUUGCUAGAGUGCAGAAAGGGCAAUCGGAAUUCUUGGUGUAGCGGUGAAAUGCGUAGAUAUCAAGAGGAACACCUGAGGCGAAGGCGGGUUGCUAGGCUGACACUGACGCUGAGGCGCGAAAGCCAGGGGAGCAAACGGG
This 253-nucleotide ribosomal RNA is filed under the name uncultured bacterium. RNAcentral's name for it is "partial 16S ribosomal RNA". It matches the Rfam family "Bacterial small subunit ribosomal RNA", at positions 524 to 776 of the family's 1533-position model. The record is from RNAcentral.